This 971-nucleotide long non-coding RNA is filed under the name Nicotiana tabacum (common tobacco). Its description in RNAcentral is "long non-coding RNA (NTAB_LNC011094)". Lineage: Eukaryota; Viridiplantae; Streptophyta; Magnoliopsida; Solanales; Solanaceae. The record is from RNAcentral.
AGAGAUGAGUGAGAUGAUGGAGUAUACCGAGGUGGAGAGCCGAUCGAGGUGCCGUUCCGUCGAGGUUCAGGUCCGCGGUCCUGUUAUUACAUCAAAAUCAAAAAAUGAAAAAGAUUAACUAAGUUUGUCAACUAUGAGUUACAAGAUUCCUAUCUAUAAGUCCUCUGAAGUUUGAUCUUGAGUCUUGAAUGGUUCUUCAUGCAGACUUUGGAUUUGAACCUUGAAGCUUGCUAGUUGCAGAUACUAGUUCGUUCUUCUUCAGAUUUUCGGAUCAAGACCGGACAUGUAGUGCUUGUGACCUCAACCAUGUCUUGGGCAACCCACAUCUUUCAUCAACUUCUACAUUUGGAUUAACUUCUUGCCUUUCUCCUCUCUUUUUUUCUUUAUUGUGACUAACUUCUAUUGAUCACCUCGGAUUGUUGACUCGCAUUCUUGCCGCGAGCUUCUUUUGUUGCUGACUUGAAUUGUAAUCUGAGAUGUUUUCCCUUUCUCCAGAUGGAUGCCUGACUGCUGAACUUGAAUUAUAUUCACGUGCUCUCCAGGUGGGCUCCUGACUACUGAACUUGAAUGUAUUCCCGUGCUCUCCAGGUGGGCGCCUGACUGCUGAACUUGAAUUGUAUUCCCUUGCUCUCCAGGUGGUGCCUGAUUGCUGAAUUUGAAUGUAUUCCCUUACUCUCCAGGUGGGCGCCUGAUUGCUGAAAUUAAAUGUAUACCCUUGCUUUCCAGGUGGGCGCCUGAUUUCAACAAAAUAGACAAAAACAAAGAAAAAUUUCUGCCCCGGUUUGGUAGCUGGGCACAUAUGUGAGUGUAAACUGAAUCAUGUUACCAAAUAUCAAUAAGAACUUGAAAGCUGAAACUCGAACUGUACUCCCUUGCUCUCUAGGUGGGCGCCUGAUUGCUGAAACUUGAAUUGUAUUCCCUUGCUCUCCAGGUGGGUGUCUGACUACUGAAACUUGAAUUGUAUUUCCUUG